GUGUCAGCAGCCGCGGUAAUACGUAGGUUGCGAGCGUUAUCCGGAUUCAUUGGGCGUAAAGAGCUUGUAGGUGGCUAGGUAAGUUGGACGUGAAAACUCUGGGCUUAACUUGGAGAGGCCGUUCAAUACUGCAUAGCUAGAGGAUGUCAGAGGGAAGUGGAAUUCCUGGUGUAGCAGUGAAAUGCGUAGAUAUCAGGAGGAACACCCGUGGCGAAGGCGGCUUCCUGGGACAUUACUGACACUGAGAAGCGAAAGCUAGGGGAGCAAACGGGAUUAGAAACCCCUGUAGUCC
RNAcentral lists this ribosomal RNA (292 nucleotides) under uncultured bacterium. RNAcentral describes it as "partial 16S ribosomal RNA". It matches the Rfam family "Bacterial small subunit ribosomal RNA", at positions 505 to 796 of the family's 1533-position model. The record is from RNAcentral.